AUUGCAACCUGGCUGGGGGAGGUAUCAUGAUCGCGAAGGUGGCUUUUCCCAGGGCAAGCUGAUCCACUGCACUCUGGAUGUGCUGACCCCUGCGAUUUCCCCAAAUGUGGGAACCUCAACUUUAUAAUUUGUGGUAGUGGGGACUGCCUUUUCUCUCUUCCUUG
RNAcentral lists this small nuclear RNA (164 nucleotides) under Dasypus novemcinctus (nine-banded armadillo). RNAcentral describes it as "U1 spliceosomal RNA (ENSDNOG00000039532.1)". It matches the Rfam family "U1 spliceosomal RNA". From Rfam's summary of the family: U1 is a small nuclear RNA (snRNA) component of the spliceosome (involved in pre-mRNA splicing). Lineage: Eukaryota; Metazoa; Chordata; Mammalia; Cingulata; Dasypodidae. The record is from RNAcentral.